AGAAGAAAUGACUGUUUCAAGUUGCUCCAAAAGCUGGGAGUGUGUGGGAACAAAGCUACCAUCAGGCCAAAUUAACACUCGUUAGGUGACGUCCAUUGACUUACUGAGGCUCUGUUUUCCCGAUGGAGUGAAUGUUGUGCAGCUUUCCUAACCUGAAAAUCCCGUGGGGAGAGAAUUUGUGUUUGUUUUUCUCUGAUCACUUUGCUUAACAACCCUGCUCUCAGCUGCCUUCAGUAAAUGUUCCUGGCAGAGCGGUGUUCUAUCUGUUGGACGCUACAGUUCCUCUGUCUCAAAGCAGUGAAAUGUGUCCCGGAAGUAGGUUAGCUGCAGGAGUGAUGCAGACUCACACCCGUAUCCGUUCCCAGAUAACAGCUUUUACUUUUUUAUUCUUCGUUGACAAGUCGUGGCUAUGAUUGAUAAAAGGUGAAGCUCCUUGAAGACGGAGACAGUUCGUUAGGAGAAAACCCCAGGGCAUCAUAAACACCAGGCAACACAGAGAGCUGUGGAUGCCUGGGGGUAAGGACUCAAAAAGAUCACGUAGGAAGAACAAGACGAAAGUUUGACAUCAUGGGACUUCUCUGAACGUAAAAACAAAACUGUAUUUUAUUCGGAUGGAGGCUGAACUCCACAAACCA
Long non-coding RNA from Suricata suricatta (meerkat), 635 nucleotides. RefSeq lists it as uncharacterized. The transcript has 4 exons. The record is from RefSeq and is a predicted model, not a curated record. Lineage: Eukaryota; Metazoa; Chordata; Mammalia; Carnivora; Herpestidae.